Long non-coding RNA from Diprion similis, 943 nucleotides. RefSeq lists it as uncharacterized. The record is from RefSeq and is a predicted model, not a curated record. NCBI's taxonomy places the organism in Eukaryota, Metazoa, Arthropoda, Insecta, Hymenoptera, Diprionidae. The transcript has 2 exons.
CUGGUCUCAAAGGUCACAUGUGACCCUGAUUGUAUGACAUCACUCAAAUUCGUUGAGAGUAGAUUUUUUCUACAUUUUUUCAUGGAGGCUACUUUUCAUAGUCAAGGCACCAGAUAAUUUCAUCUCGGUGCUUAUGUAUUUCGUUAGAAAUUUUAUCUCUGCUAAUAAUGUGAGUAGCAUAUUUUUUCACUCCAGAACGAUUCUUUCCCUAUCUUAAUAAUAACAUAACAAUUGACAAAAUUGGAAUUUUUUCCGGACUUUAGCCUUUAUCACACGGUAAGUGAGCUUUUGCGUUGCGGGUAAGCAAUGAGGAAGAAGAUCAAUAAAUGCUGGAGGUGUGUAGGUAGGUGGGUGGGGUGGCUGUUCAGCCACGAGACAGUGUAGGUGUCUGAGUGGGCAGUCAAAGUUGGCCUUGCUCAGAACCACUUAAUCACAUCGGGUUACCAUAAAUGAGCACAGAUACGUGGGUUUUGCAAAAUACUGCUUUCUGAUGUCACAGCUUGCAAUUUAUCGAAAGGUAUAUACACAUUGUGCCUGUCUGCUGCAUAACGUGUUUCUGUAUGGUUUCCAAUAAUCUAAGUGCAAACAAGCUGCUUCCAUGAAAAUCGUGAUGAAAAUAAAGAAAAAUCUGGUGGAACUAUAAUGAGCCUGAAUUAUUCAGAUGUCGGAUGUUACUUGGCAGAAAACGAAUUAUACAAACAGGUUUAGGCAAAAAAUUUGCAUUAAGUAACUCUUUUUUGCUAUUGUGACAAAGUAGAGAGAGGGCACUGAAAUCAGAUAAACGAUAAGCUUGAUCAGAUCGUACAGUUAACGUUCGAAUAGAUCAAGUAAUCUACUUUAUUCUUCUACAUUCUUAAAUUUUAUUGUGUCAUGUGUAGUAUAUAUUUUUCAAUGUGGUAUUUAAUAAUUUGUGAACGAUAGAAAUAAAAGUGUGAUAUCAAAA